This 913-nucleotide ribosomal RNA is filed under the name uncultured bacterium. RNAcentral describes it as "bacterial SSU rRNA". It matches the Rfam family "Bacterial small subunit ribosomal RNA", at positions 8 to 916 of the family's 1533-position model. The record is from RNAcentral.
AGAGUUUGAUCCUGGCUCAGGACGAACGCGGGCGGCGUGCUUAACACAUGCAAGUCGAGCGGGGAUACGAGCCUGAUCGUUUCGGUGAGAAGGCGAGUGUCCUAGCGGCGGACGGGUGAGUAACGCGUGGGCAACCUGCCCUCAAGACCGGGAUACCGACUCGAAAGGGUUGUUAAUACCGGAUGAGGUGGACGGAUCGCAUGAUCUGUUCAGCAAAGGAGGAAUCCGCUUGAGGAGGGGCCUGCGUUCCAUUAGCUGGUUGGUGAGGCAGCGGCUCACCAAGGCGACGAUGGAUAGCCGGCCUGAGAGGGUGGCCGGCCACACUGGGACUGAGAUACGGCCCAGACUCCUACGGGGGGCAGCAGUGGGGAAUAUUGCACAAUGGGCGAAAGCCUGAUGCAGCGACGCCGCGUGAGGGAAGAAGGUUUUCGGAUCGUAAACCUCUGUCCAGAGGGAAGAAGGAAGUGACGGUACCUUUGGAGGAAGCCCCGGCUAACUACGUGCCAGCAGCCGCGGUAAUACGUAGGGGGCGAGCGUUGUCCGGAAUUAUUGGGCGUAAAGGGCGCGUAGGCGGUGACACAAGUCAGGUGAUAAAGGCACGGGCUCAACCGGUGUUAGGCACUUGAUACUGUGUUGCUAGAGUGCAGGAGAGGGGAGUGGGAUUCCAGGUGUAGCGGUGAAAUGCGUAGAUAUCUGGAAGAACACCAGUGGCGAAGGCGGCUCUCUGGACUGCAACUGACGCUGAGGCGCGAAAGCUGGGGGAGCAAACAGGAUUAGAUACCCUGGUAGUCCCAGCCGUAAACGAUGAACACUAGGUGUAGGGGGUAUCGACCCCCCCUGUGCCGGAGCUAACGCAAUAAGUGUUCCGCCUGGGGAGUACGGCCGCAAGGUUGAAACUCAAAUGAAUUGACGG